Molecule: ribosomal RNA, 329 nt
Filed under: uncultured eukaryote
Lineage: Eukaryota
Description: partial 18S ribosomal RNA
Rfam family: Eukaryotic small subunit ribosomal RNA
Source: RNAcentral
CCCUUAGAUGUUCUGGGCCGCACGCGCGCUACACUGAUGCAUUCAACGAGGCUAAAACCUGCUCUGAUAGGGGUGGGUAAUCUUUUGAAUGUGCAUCGUGAUUGGGAUAGAUGAUUGCAAUUUUUCAUCUUCAACGAGGAAUGCCUAGUAAACGCAAGUCAUCAGCUUGCAUUGAUUACGUCCCUGCCCUUUGUACACACCGCCCGUCGCUCCUACCGAUUGAAUGAUCCGAUGAAUAUCAUGGAUUGAGGAUGCAAGUAGGUUCGCCUAUCUUCAUCUUCGAGAAGUGAAGUAAAUCUUAUCAUUUAGAGGAAGGAGAAGUCGUAACA